AUACGUAGGUGGCAAGCGUUGUCCGGAAUUACUGGGUGUAAAGGGAGCGUCAGGUGGGAUGGAAAGUUGGAUGUUUAAUCUACGGGCUCAACCCGUAUCAGCAUUCAAAACUAUCAUUCUUGAGUGGAGUAGAGGCAGGCGGAAUUCCAGGUGUAGCGGUGGAAUGCGUAGAUAUCUGGAGGAACACCAGUGGCGAAGGCGGCCUGCUGGGCUCUAACUGACACUGAGGCUCGAAAGCGUGGGUAGC
This 247-nucleotide ribosomal RNA is filed under the name uncultured bacterium. RNAcentral describes it as "partial 16S ribosomal RNA". It matches the Rfam family "Bacterial small subunit ribosomal RNA", at positions 523 to 769 of the family's 1533-position model. The record is from RNAcentral.